This 248-nucleotide unclassified non-coding RNA is filed under the name Hevea brasiliensis (rubber tree). The record is from RNAcentral. Lineage: Eukaryota; Viridiplantae; Streptophyta; Magnoliopsida; Malpighiales; Euphorbiaceae.
AUACUACAUGUCUUGGUGCCAAUGUAGAAUAUGGAAAAUUCUGUUUUAAAAAGCCCAAAUGUAAUGAUUGUCUAUGUGACUAUGUCCAUGUCUGCAUCCAUCUAUAAAACAUGAACAUGAUAUCCUUGCUCUCAAUCCAACCAUACAAUCAUGUAUAUAUAUUUGGCUAGGAUAUAGGAUUAGGUCUAAUAAAAAUACUUACGUCUUAGGAUGUUAUCAAAUGAGUGGUUAAUAUGGGAAAAAGAGAG